RNAcentral lists this ribosomal RNA (253 nucleotides) under uncultured bacterium. RNAcentral describes it as "partial 16S ribosomal RNA". It matches the Rfam family "Bacterial small subunit ribosomal RNA", at positions 524 to 776 of the family's 1533-position model. The record is from RNAcentral.
UACGUAGGGUGCGAGCGUUAAUCGGAAUUACUGGGCGUAAAGCGUGCGCAGGCGGCUUUGCAAGACAGAUGUGAAAUCCCCGGGUUCAACCUGGGAACUGCAUUUGUGACUGCAAGGCUUGAGUGCGGCAGAGGGGGAUGGAAUUCCGCGUGUAGCAGUGAAAUGCGUAGAUAUGCGGAGGAACACCGAUGGCGAAGGCAAUCCCCUGGGCCUGCACUGACGCUCAUGCACGAAAGCGUGGGGAGCAAACAGG